Molecule: ribosomal RNA, 987 nt
Filed under: uncultured bacterium
Lineage: Bacteria
Description: bacterial SSU rRNA
Rfam family: Bacterial small subunit ribosomal RNA
Source: RNAcentral
AGAGUUUGAUCAUGGCUCAGAAUGAACGUUGGCGGCGUGGAUUAGGCAUGCAAGUCGAGGGAGAACCCGCAAGGGGGACACCGGCGAACGGGGUAGGAUCACCUCGGUGACGUACCCUCCGGACGGGGAUAGCGACGGGAAACUGUCGGUAAUACCCGAUGAUCUGGCUGGCUUUGAAGGCUGGUCAGCAAAGGUGAGAUUCCACCGGAGGAGCGGCUGAGGCGCUAUUAGCUAGUUGGGGAGGUAACGGCUCACCAAGGCGACGAUGGCUAGGGGGUGUGAGAGCAUGGCCCCCACCACUGGCACUGAGACACUGGCCAGACACCUACGGGUGGCUGCAGUCGAGAAUCUUCGGCAAUGGGCGCAAGCCUGACCGAGCGACGCCGCGCGCGGGAUGAAGGUCUUCGGAUUGUAAACCGCUGUCGGAGGGGAUGAAGUGCAGGGGGGCAAUCCCCCCUGUUUGACAGAGCCUCGGAGGAAGCACGGGCUAAGUUCGUGCCAGCAGCCGCGGUAAUGCGAACUGUGCGAACGUUAUUCGGAAUCACUGGGCUUAAAGGGUGCGUAGGCGGCCGCUCAAGUCAGGUGUGAAAUCCCCCGGCUCAACCGGGGAACAGCGCUUGAAACUAGGUGGCUAGAGUGAGGUAAGGGACCACGGAACUUCCGGUGGAGCGGUGAAAUGUGUAGAUAUCGGAAGGAACGCCGGUGGCGAAAGCGGUGGUCUGGGCCUUGUCUGACGCUGAGGCACGAAAGCCAGGGGAGUGAACGGGAUUAGAUACCCCGGUAAUCCUGGCCGUAAACACUGAGCACUGGAGGGGGGCAGGUUCGCCCGUCCCCCUCGCAGCGAAAGCGUUAAGUGCUCCGCCUGGGGAGUAUGGUCGCAAGGCUGAAACUCAAAAGGAAUUGACGGGGCUCACACAAGCGGUGGAGCAUGUGGCUUAAUUCGAGGCAACGCGAAGAACCUUAUCCUGGGCUUGACAUGGUCGGAUU